UGUUUUGCUUGAAGUGUUCUGAAAAUAAAGUCCUUUGGUUAGGAUCACCAAAGGCAACGUCUAGUCAGAUGUCUGUAUGGCUUUGCUGUACGGGAGCGCCGUCAACAUAUCCCUUUCUGCGAUAAGGUCUCUUGCUUGAGACUGCUUUUUAAGCGGUCUUUUGAGUGAGAGAUGGGUUUUGGGCUAGUAGCUCAGUUGGUUAGAGCACACGCUUGAUAAGCGUGGGGUCGGAGGUUCAAGUCCUCCCUGGCCCACCACUGGCCGACUACAUUUUGUUUUAUGUAGUCAUUCUGGUUUUUGGGGGCAUAGCUCAGCUGGGAGAGCACCUGCUUUGCAAGCAGGGGGUCGUCGGUUCGAACCCGUCUGCCUCCACCAAGACCGGCUUUUGGUGUUGAGACAAAAUCCUUAUCGCUAGGGAGUGUAGGAAUUGGACGCUUCGUUGUGGUGACUGCGGUGCAGCGCCAUGGUGAUGCUGUUCGAUAGAUGAUCUUUGUCAGUGUGAAUCGGUUGGUGCGUAUCUGGGCGUGCCGUUUACUGUGGGUUGGUCUGACCCUCAGGCUUCGUAAGUUUUUACGAACCUGUGUUAAGCAGUAUCGGCGCGAGCGUUCAGAUGCGUUUUAAGAUGAAUGUGUGACGUACUCGGAUGAUCGUCAUGCGGAAGUCUUCUGCA
This 670-nucleotide unclassified non-coding RNA is filed under the name bacterium NJ6. Its description in RNAcentral is "partial 16S-23S ribosomal RNA intergenic spacer". The stretch from base 181 to 254 matches the Rfam family "tRNA". The record is from RNAcentral.